Ictalurus punctatus (channel catfish) is the source of this 274-nucleotide long non-coding RNA. The record is from Ensembl. Lineage: Eukaryota; Metazoa; Chordata; Actinopteri; Siluriformes; Ictaluridae.
GUUCCCGUUGAGAUGCGAGGUACUGUGUGAUGGACUGCUUGGCCUAACGUGCCUUUUCCUUCUGAGACCUGGAUGACAUUUGCCUCUGGAACAUUCUUUCAGAGCAACAGGGGAGGUGACACAAUGAGGCGGGGAGGAUAAAAGAAUCGGCGCACGGUCAAGUGACACUUUGAGGACAGUAGUGGCAGGAACCUUACGGUAUUCUCCAAAGCCCAGUGUUCGCCUCGUUGCGCACCUUCCCCAUUCACUCACCUUUCUCAAUGUGAAAUCUUUU